RNAcentral lists this long non-coding RNA (955 nucleotides) under Felis catus (domestic cat). RNAcentral's name for it is "lncRNA (ENSFCAG00000052863.1)". The record is from RNAcentral. Lineage: Eukaryota; Metazoa; Chordata; Mammalia; Carnivora; Felidae.
GCAGCGGAGCAGGGGUCAUGGGUCCUGCGUUUGAACGAUAGUCAACCAGCCCUCAAAAAAAGCAGGCGCUGGUCAAGGUGGCAUUUUCAUAAAGGCGGACAGCUGCCUCCUGCCCUGAGUGUCAGCCCCCCUGCAGCCUUAAGACUGACUCUCUCUCUUUCUCUCUCUCUUUCUCUCUCUCUCUCGGAAAGCCUGCUACAGCCAUAUCAGCUGGCAAGAUGAGAUUUCUUUUCCAUUUGUUCCCUACUUUUGAAAAACCAGCUUGAAGCUGUUAGGAAUGUGCGUGAGGCACUCUUAUGAAAUAUGAAAGUGGGGUGCAGGGCUGGGGAAGAAAAGCUAAGUAUUGCGGAAGUGUUCGAAAGGGUGAGAUAAAAGCAUGGUUACGGGAGGCCGAGAGCCAGGCCGUUUGGCUGCUACCCUUGGGGCUUCUAUUCCCUCAAGUGAGACUAUCAGAAGGAGUCCACGGUUUUCAACAGAGCAGCAUGACAUUGAACGGAUGGUUCCUGAACAUUGGCACUCCAGACUGCCGCGUCUCUGCAGAAAGGCACGAGAGGGAGUACAAUUAUAUUGCAAGACAAAGGAAAACUUCACUUUAUUUCAUACCUGGGAAGGCACAGUACUUCCUCCAGGAUGAAGAGGAGAAAAACUGGACAGAAGUUCAACCCUGAAGAUAACUAAAAUGGUAUAAAAACGAUUGAAUAACCCAUCUGGUGUCUGCUGCCAACAACUAUCAACACAUCUUCCAGAUGCCUCUGCUGAACGUAAUUAUUAAAGUUUUUACUUGAUUUAAAAACACGUAGAAGAGCAAAGUAUGUAUGUUUCAUCCCAAAUGAAAUUGCAAUGGCUUUCACUUUUCUGAUGACUACAAUCUAUUCACACUAAAUCAUUAGCUGGGCUGAAGGUCUGCUUAAGAGUAACAACCAGUAUGUGUCGAGCAAACUUAACAAUUAUGAUG